UACGUAGGGGGCAAGCGUUAUCCGGAUUUACUGGGUGUAAAGGGAGCGUAGGCGGUGAUGCAAGUCAGAAGUGAAAGCCCGCAGCUCAACUGCGGGACUGCUUUUGAAACUGUAUGACUAGAUUGCAGGAGAGGUAAGUGGAAUUCCUAGUGUAGCGGUGAAAUGCGUAGAUAUUAGGAGGAACACCAGUGGCGAAGGCGGCUUACUGGACUGUAAAUGACGCUGAGGCUCGAAAGCGUGGGGAGCAAACAGG
Molecule: ribosomal RNA, 253 nt
Filed under: uncultured bacterium
Lineage: Bacteria
Description: partial 16S ribosomal RNA
Rfam family: Bacterial small subunit ribosomal RNA
Source: RNAcentral